Molecule: ribosomal RNA, 220 nt
Filed under: uncultured bacterium
Lineage: Bacteria
Description: partial 16S ribosomal RNA
Rfam family: Bacterial small subunit ribosomal RNA
Source: RNAcentral
GCAAGUCGAGCGAACUCUUCGGAGUUAGCGGCGGACGGGUUAGUAACGCGUGGGAAUAUGCCCCUGGGUACGGAACAACAGCUGGAAACGGCUGCUAAUACCGUAUGAUGUCUUCGGACCAAAGAUUUAUCGCCCAGGGAUUAGCCCGCGUUGGAUUAGGUAGUUGGAGGGGUAACGGCCCACCAAGCCUGCGAUCCAUAGCUGGUUUGAGAGGAUGAUC